UCCCUGCUGGCUCAGAAGGUAAAGAAUCUGCCUGCAAUGCAAAAGACCCAGGUUAGAUCCCCGGGUUGGGAA
This 72-nucleotide transfer RNA is filed under the name Bos taurus (domestic cattle). It matches the Rfam family "tRNA". Rfam says of the family: Transfer RNA (tRNA) molecules are approximately 80 nucleotides in length. Their secondary structure includes four short double-helical elements and three loops (D, anti-codon, and T loops). RNAcentral also lists the same sequence under 2 other names. Lineage: Eukaryota; Metazoa; Chordata; Mammalia; Artiodactyla; Bovidae. The record is from Rfam by way of RNAcentral.